CGAUGUAGACCAGGCCUGUUUUGGGCAAACCAAGCAUCAUCCAGGACAACCUACGAGCAUCAGAUACGGAUGUUUCAACUUUGAGUUAUGCCGCGAUGUGAUGAAAACGGCAUUUGACGAUUUAACCCGAUGCCUUGCACAAAAUGCCAAUUGUGAUACUGAUCAUUCGGGAGUCUGUAACGUUUGCUGUAGAGGUGCAAGCUGUAACUAUGGUGAUUGUCAUGAGAUAAGACAGCGACUGUUUGACGAGUACAAUCGUGGUGUGUUUAGUUUGGACACCCUGGAGUCCACGUCAGAUGUAGCAGGGUAAUACAUGCGGAGCGGACUUUUAGACAGUGAGGUCGCCGUUCAGACU
Molecule: long non-coding RNA, 355 nt
Organism: Mya arenaria
Lineage: Eukaryota; Metazoa; Mollusca; Bivalvia; Myida; Myidae
Exons: 4
Source: RefSeq, a predicted model, not a curated record